CUGCCCAAGAGACUGGGAUAACACCUGGAAACAGAUGCUAAUACCGGAUAACAACACUAGACGCAUGUCUAGAGUUUGAAAGAUGGUUCUGCUAUCACUCUUGGAUGGACCUGCGGUGCAUUAGCUAGUUGGUAAGGUAACGGCUUACCAAGGCAAUGAUGCAUAGCCGAGUUGAGAGACUGAUCGGCCACAUUGGGACUGAGACGCGGCCCAAACUCCUACGGGAGGCAGCAGUAGGGAAUCUUCCACAAUGGACGAAAGUCUGAUGGAGCAACGCCGCGUGAGUGAAGAAGGGUUUCGGCUCGUAAAGCUCUGUUGGUAGUGAAGAAAGAUAGAGGUAGUAACUGGCCUUUAUUUGACGGUAAUUACUUAGAAAGUCACGGCUAACUACGUGCCAGCAGCCGCGGUAAUACGUAGGUGGCAAGCGUUGUCCGGAUUUAUUGGGCGUAAAGCGAGUGCAGGCGGUUCAAUAAGUCUGAUGUGAAAGCCUUCGGCUCAACCGGAGAAUUGCAUCAAAAACUGUUGAACUUGAGUGCAGAAGAAGGAGAGUGGAACUCCAUGUGUAGCGGUGGAAUGCGU
Molecule: ribosomal RNA, 579 nt
Filed under: uncultured bacterium
Lineage: Bacteria
Description: bacterial SSU rRNA
Rfam family: Bacterial small subunit ribosomal RNA
Source: RNAcentral